This is a long non-coding RNA of Rhineura floridana, 246 nucleotides long. RefSeq lists it as uncharacterized. The transcript has 3 exons. The record is from RefSeq and is a predicted model, not a curated record. NCBI's taxonomy places the organism in Eukaryota, Metazoa, Chordata, Lepidosauria, Squamata, Rhineuridae.
GAUUAUAGUUCUGUUUUCCUCUCCUCUGCUCUCUCCCUUGUUCAAAAGGAAGAUAAGUAAUGUUGUUCCAGCAGCAACCAGCCCAAAUGGCAAAAUGUUCACUGGAUGAUUCAAGCCACCCAUUCUUCUUGGAGAAAGAGCCACAGCUCAGCGGCAAAGCAUCAGAAGGUCCCAAGUUCAGUCCCCAGCAUCUCCAGGCCCGAAUCCAAAUGGGGAGAACAGAGUGCCUGGUUCCAAUAAAGACGC